Molecule: ribosomal RNA, 253 nt
Filed under: uncultured bacterium
Lineage: Bacteria
Description: partial 16S ribosomal RNA
Rfam family: Bacterial small subunit ribosomal RNA
Source: RNAcentral
UACGUAGGGGGCAAGCGUUGUCCGGAUUUAUUGGGCGUAAGGAGCGUGUAGGCGGCCGCACAGGUCCGUUGUGAAAACUGGAGGCUUAACCUUCAGACGUCGAUGGAAACCGUGCGGCUAGAGUCCGGAAGAGGAGAAUGGAAUUCCUGGUGUAGCGGUGAAAUGCGCAGAUAUCAGGAAGAACACCCGUGGCUAAGGCGGUUCUCUAGUACGGUACUGACGCUGAGACGCGAAAGCGUGGGGAGCGAACAGG